GGGCCCGCACAAGCGGUGGAGCAUGUGGUUUAAUUCGAUGCAACGCGAAAACCUUACCUACUCUUGACAUACUUGGAAGCUCUUGUAAUGAGAGUGUGCCUUUGGAGCCAAGAUACAGGUGCUGCAUGGCUGUCGUCAGCUCGUGUCGUGAGAUGUUCCGUUAAGUCGGAUAACGAGCGCAACCCUUACCCUUAUUUGCCAGCGAUUCGGUCGGGAACUAUAAGGGGACUGCCGGUGAUAAACCGGAGGAAGGUGAGGACGACGUCAAGUCAUCAUGGCCCUUACGAGUAGGGCUACACACGUGCUACAAUGGGGAAUACAGACGGACGCUAAGCGAAUAGGAGCUAAUCUUUAAAACCGGUCUC
Molecule: ribosomal RNA, 365 nt
Filed under: uncultured bacterium
Lineage: Bacteria
Description: bacterial SSU rRNA
Rfam family: Bacterial small subunit ribosomal RNA
Source: RNAcentral